This 490-nucleotide ribosomal RNA is filed under the name uncultured bacterium. RNAcentral describes it as "partial 16S ribosomal RNA". It matches the Rfam family "Bacterial small subunit ribosomal RNA", at positions 28 to 507 of the family's 1533-position model. The record is from RNAcentral.
GAUGAACGCUAGCGAUAGGCUUAACACAUGCAAGUCGAGGGGCAGCAUGGUCUUAGCUUGCUAAGGCUGAUGGCGACCGGCGCACGGGUGCGUAACGCGUAUGCAACUUGCCUCACAGAGGGGGAUAACCCGUCGAAAGACGGACUAAUACCGCGUACACUCUAUGUUGGGCAUCCAAUGUAGAGGAAAUGAAAUUCGCUGUGAGAUAGGCAUGCGUCCCAUUAGCUAGCUGGUGAGGUAACGGCUCACCAAGGCGACGAUGGGUAGGGGAACUGAGAGGUUGAACCCCCACACUGGUACUGAGACACGGACCAGACUCCUACGGGAGGCAGCAGUGAGGAAUAUUGGUCAAUGGGCGAGGGCCUGAACCAGCCAAGUCGCGUGAAGGAUGACUGUCUUAUGGAUUGUAAACUUCUUUUAUACGGGAAUAACAAGAGUCACGUGUGGCUCCCUGCAUGUACCGUAUGAAUAAGCAUCGGCUAACUCCGUG